CCCACUUCUGCUUGUACAGUUACAUAAACAAACAGAACUACAGAUAUUGAAGCGAUAAGAAUCAUAUGCAGAUCCACAAGAAACCUCUCCAUAGUAAGGAGGUAACUGUUUGGUGUGGUUGGGCAUUAUUGCUUUGAUGUAAACAACUGAGCCAUUACUUUGGAUUCUGAGCACUGUUGGUUGCACUGUGCCACAAACAUUUCAGGCUACAGAACUGUGACAGAUGAGGCAGAGGCUGAGAAAUGUUGAUGGUUUCCACAGACCCAGUGAUAAGGGAAAGUAUAACUUCUCUUAAAGGAAUGUUUCCAGGCUGCUUCAUUUCAUGAUUUGGCAACAUUCCCUUGGUCAUCUGAAUCCCCAGACUUGACAGCCCCACACUUUGCCUUGUGAGGGUAUCUCAGCUCUGAAGUGUACUGAAGGGUGCUACCCCCAUUUCUCCAAGACCUCAAGGACUGCAUUACAGAAGGAAUCAGAACAAUUAAAGGCACUUCACUAUAGUGAGUUAUGUAACUUCAAACAGUGACUACAGAAACAUACUGAAUAUCAUGGAGGUCAUCCAAAACAUGUAAGGCAUGAAUACUAAACUACAAUCAUCAUGCCAGUUCUUUCUUACUGCCCUGUCUCUCACAGUAGCCUACAGAAAAGACACAUCCUUCCACCCCACCCUGUAUCAAAAUCUUGGUUCAUGUCUGGGAGCUCUUACCCAAACAUCAUAUUUACUUGAAUCCAAGACAAUUAUUUCUCUACUUCACAUUCUGAAAAACUAAUGGUCAUUGUAAUACAUGGAAGGAUUCUCUAAGAGCUUCCCAGAAAUUGUUUUGGCACUUUUGUGAAAGAGGCAGGCACUCCUUGUAUCAGCUCUGGCAGCAUGUGUUUCAACUUGCUGUAUGUGUAUGAAGGCAGGAGCCUAGACACAUUACAAUUUCUCUCCAAUACAGGGUUCAAUAAAUCACUGAGGAACCACUGUGAAACAAGCAUAUGUGUUAUGUGCCUGUUAACUUUAAUCCCAAGCACUUACGAACACUUUAAGUCUGGCCAUGAUACAUAUACCAAGUGCCUUGCCUUGCCUUGCCAGGGAACUGUUGAUGGCACAAAUACUGCCAUGAACUUUAAAAAUCUACGGUACAAAACCACCUGCAAUACUGACAUAAAAUUUUCAAUGAAGUUUUAUGGUUCAACAGAAGAGGUUUUGGCAAAACAGCAAUAUGAAGCUGUGCCACCUAUAGUUAAGUGCAACAUUUACUAAAUCUCGGUUUCCUGGUGUCAAUAUUUAAGUCAUCAAUAUAUCUCUAUAUUUGAAUAAAAGUACCUUUAAUGUUCUAUUAGAGAGUACGAUCAAAAAGAAGUAAGGACAGGCAAGGUCAUUACUAGACAACAGUGAAUUCAAAUAAAUGCUGAGUGCUGACUGAAGAGAAAUUGCAUAAGAUCAGUGCUAGACUAGAGUAUUCUCCUGACAGAUCUCCUGGGUACCUUGUACAGGGCAAUGGGGUCUGAAAGUAACAGGUUUCAGGUUUCCUUUAUUUCCGAAAAGGAACUCCAAUGUGUGUAUGUGACCUUUCUUUUUAUGGACAUGCACAAAAUGCAUGCACAAUAGGAAUCAUUUCUGGCAUGUUAUGCAACAUGGACUGAUUUUGUUUGUGAUGUGUUGGUCUACGGGUUUGUCAAUUACUGUGGGUCUGAACACACUUGACAACAGUCAGUUUGAGAUACAUCUCUUCCACAGGUGGCCAAACAAUUAUGUGGCAGGUCCACAGAUAGUCUCCUGGUAGUACGAGUACAGGAUGAUUCACUCAGAGUUAAGCCCUGAAUCAACAAUUAUAAAUAAUGCAACAAUUUACUGAUGAAAAUGAAACUUGGCAAAAAUUCUCUUUGGCAGGCAUGGAGAUAAUUGGGCUACUGGUGUUGAGACAGGUUUCCCUCCUACUGGAUACACAGGCCAACAUGGUGUUCCAUGUUCCUGAAUGUUGGAGUCAAUACUGCAAGAGGUAUUGCAACAGUUUCAAUGGUGAUGGAAUGGCAUGAUCUGGGAAGGUUGGAAACAGGUUUGUAACAAUGGGCUGUUAUUUUUGGAGAAUUCCUUUGCUGUAGACUGGAUGAAGAGAACGUUUCUGAAGUUCAUUCUGUCUUCACCUUCAGAGCCUCCUGGAGAUGACAACACUGAUACAUUGCUGGCUGGCCGAUUUGCUGUUGCUAAGAGAGAACAGACUAAAUCAGGCUUCUCAAAAUACUGUACAAGGGCUAGCAGACAUGCAUGAUGGAUAUGACUUGAGUAACUACUGUGCAAAUCGAAGGAACAGGGCAACUUCAUACUUACCACUAGUCACAGAAAAGCUGAACAAA
Molecule: long non-coding RNA, 2340 nt
Organism: Cryptotermes secundus
Lineage: Eukaryota; Metazoa; Arthropoda; Insecta; Blattodea; Kalotermitidae
Exons: 4
Source: RefSeq, a predicted model, not a curated record